This 649-nucleotide ribosomal RNA is filed under the name uncultured bacterium. RNAcentral describes it as "bacterial SSU rRNA". It matches the Rfam family "Bacterial small subunit ribosomal RNA", at positions 59 to 688 of the family's 1533-position model. The record is from RNAcentral.
CAGUCGUACGUGAAGUUCCGCAAGGAAUGAGUAAAGUGGCGAACGGGUGAGUAAUACAUAGGUAAUCUACUUAUAAGUUCGGGAUAACAGUUCGAAAGGACUGCUAAUACCGGAUAAUGUACUGUUUCAGAAGAUUCAGUACCAAAGGUGGCCUCUUCACAAUGCUACCGAUUAUAAAUGAGCCUAUGGACCAUUAGUUAGUUGGCAGGGUAAUGGCCUACCAAGACAAAGAUGGUUAGCUGGUCUGAGAGGAUGAUCAGCCACACUGGAACUGAAACACGGUCCAGACUCCUACGGGAGGCAGCAGUGGGGAAUAUUGCGCAAUGGGGGAAACCCUGACGCAGCAACGCCGUGUGAGCGAUGAAGGCCUUCGGGUUGUAAAGCUCUGUUAAAUAAGAAGAAACUCCCGCAUUCUAAUACAAUACGGGAUUGACGGUAUUAUUAGAGAAAGCACCGGCUAACUCCGUGCCAGCAGCCGCGGUAAGACGGAGGGUGCAAGCGUUGUUCGGAAUUACUGGGCGUAAAGGGCGUGUAGGCGGUUUAAUAAGUUAGGUGUGAAAUCUUCAGGCUCAACCUGAAAAGUGCACUUAAAACUGUUAGACUAGAGAGUGGUAGGGGGAAGCGGAAUUCCUAGUGUAGAGGUGAAAUU